GCUACGAGUGAGAGUCUUCCACUUGCUGGUGUGAUAAGAGCACUUGUCAAGAGAGAGAGCAUAUGUUGCCACGUCGAGCGUAAGGAAGCUGAUAUGGCCAAAAGACAAUAUGACGAUGGGCACAGCUGGAAAAAAUCCGCCACCCAGCCCGACAGAGCCAGGCUAACACCGCACCUCCCACUGCUGAUACCUCCCCCAAGCACUGGCAUCUCGCUCUCCUUCGCCCUCCUGCAUUAUGCUCGAACCCAUUUGCAGACAGAGCAUCCAUCAUUAUGACUGGCUCUUUUGAUGGCCUCAAUAGCGCCGCCUACAGGCCUUUGGUGGAAGUCUGUUUCAAUCGGUACUAUGAUGACAGGAUGCGCCAUCCAGACGUUUUUGUUUUCCCGUCCAAAAUGUGCCCCAUCAGAGGUCUUCAAAGGGGAGCAGAAAGCUCAAUGCUAAGAGACAACGAUUGGAGCAGACUAACACUGUGUCAACUAUGUGAGUCCCGUUCCAAAAAGCAGCUGGAUUCCCCGUCCACCACACCCUGCUCGCCUUCUCUCAUUGGUCAGGGUUUUUUUCCCCCCGGUUUCCUUCCUGCUACUGCUGCUAUGCCGUGGGUGUCCUGAGAAAAGAGCCUGCAUGGAGCAGACCAGUAUCAACGGGCCUGAUAACAAGAUGGAAAGACUGAGGCCAACAGGAAGGACAACAUAAAAGAAUCCUUACCAAAGUUGCCACGGUUCAUCUCUUUUCACUCAUUGGA
Syngnathus typhle (broad-nosed pipefish) is the source of this 742-nucleotide long non-coding RNA. RefSeq lists it as uncharacterized. The transcript has 6 exons. The record is from RefSeq and is a predicted model, not a curated record. Lineage: Eukaryota; Metazoa; Chordata; Actinopteri; Syngnathiformes; Syngnathidae.